Long non-coding RNA from Cyprinus carpio carpio, 477 nucleotides. Lineage: Eukaryota; Metazoa; Chordata; Actinopteri; Cypriniformes; Cyprinidae. The record is from Ensembl.
GUGUUUUUCCUCUAAAUGCCUCCUGAAUAUUAAGCUCCAUCCCUUGGGUGUUGUUUGAAAUGCUCCCGUAGUUUUAUCUCCAUAAUGACUCCAUCAAAUUACCUUAGCUCAGUGUUACAAUUUCUCAGCUCCCUAUAAUCAUCUGGUUCAGUAAGCUGUCUCUGUAGGCAUCAUAGGUGGACUCCCGUUGCGAAGACUGUUCCCUAAGGAAGGCAAUUUAAUUAUGCUUUUUCUGAAGAUACCUCAUUUGUCCAAAUUCCAAAGGGGGGUUCACACUAACAACGAUUUGCACUGUCAAAGCGAUCAUCACUCAUUUUGAAUUAAAUAGAAAUGCUGACUUAAAAAAAUAUUUGAACAACAAGUAGUUCCAGUCCUCAAAUUUGAUUGGCAGCACUGGGUUUUUCCAGUGUUGUUAUCCAAACUUGUCUGUGUUUGCAUGUUCCAGACAGAAGUAGGUGGCGACAAGUGACUGGGCUG